AUGGCAUCUGUUAGGAAGUUGGUUCGGGAAAUCUCAGACCAUAAUCCUUUACUUCUCUCUAAUGGAGAAGAGGGGCGUGAAGCUCCUAAGCCUCGUGAAUUUCGUUUCAACCUAUCUUGGAUUAAAGAUAAAGAUUUCCUUCCUACUGUGAGUAGGAUCUGGUCGAGGAAAGUGCACUCCUCGGACCCUAUUGAUAUCCUAAAUAUCAAACUUAAGAGGUUUAAGAAUUACUUUAAAGGGUGGGGGUCCAAUAAGUAUGGUCAUGACAAGAGAAGGAAAGAAGAGCUCAGGUUGGAGUUAGCCUUGUUGGAAGAAUUGGAAGAAAAUGGCCCCCUGUCCCCUGAAAUGUACAGCACCAAAGUGGAUAUUAGUAUGGAACUGCAUGAGCUUUUGGUGAACGAAGAGAUCUUUUGGUUGCAGCAAUCUCAUGAAAGAUGGCUGCUGAAAGGGGAUCUCAAUACUGACUACUAUCAUAAGAUUGCGAACGGGCGUAAAAGGAAAAACACGAUCCAUUCCCUGAAAGCUGGGGAUGUGGAAAUAGAAGGGACUAGUAAUCUGAUUGCUCAUGCAACAGAGUACUACAAAAACCUUUUCGGACCUGCACCCGGCAAUGAGUUCCAUAUGGAUCCUGACACUUGGACCACUAAUGAAAAACUUAAUGAGGAGAAUAAUGCUGAUUUGUGUCGGGCCUUUACGGAGACUGAAGUUAAGGAAGCUCUGUUUGCUAUGGCACACAAUAGAGCGCCCGGGCCGGACAAUGUUCCUGUGGAAUUCUAUCAGGUGUGUUGGGAUAUCGUGAAGGGUGAUAUUAUGCUCCUGUUUGAACACUUUCAUAAAGGGGGAUUGGACGUACAGCGCCUCAAUUAUGGAGUAGAUGAUUUUUCAUAUAAAAAACUUUUUCAUCCGAGUUAG
This 912-nucleotide ribosomal RNA is filed under the name Triticum aestivum (bread wheat). Its description in RNAcentral is "partial small subunit ribosomal RNA". Lineage: Eukaryota; Viridiplantae; Streptophyta; Magnoliopsida; Poales; Poaceae. The record is from RNAcentral.